This 381-nucleotide long non-coding RNA is filed under the name Androctonus crassicauda. Lineage: Eukaryota; Metazoa; Arthropoda; Arachnida; Scorpiones; Buthidae. The record is from RNAcentral.
UAUACUAUAUUAUUUUCUUUACUAUAUGUAUUUUACUAUUGUAUAACAUACUAAAUUAUAAAAUAUACUAUUUUAUAUGCAAUACACACAAUUUAUUAGGCCUUGGAUUUGGAAUGAAGUCUUCCAGCAAACAUCCUAGCACCCAUAAUCUUCUCUCUCUGUUGCAAAACAUUGCCACAAUUGUCCUAGGAAUGCCAUACUCUUGUUACAUAUUAAUUGUUCUACCUUUUUGCACCUUAUCUAUAAUUUUUCUUCUUCUCUGUAUUCAAUCAAGUAUUAUUCUUUUGAAAUUAUUCUUCUGGUCAAUUCUCUUUGAACUCAUCCUUACAUUUCACUCAAAAGAAUAAUAACAACUAUCAAUGCAUAAAUUUUUUACUUUAU